AACUCAGUGCCAGCAGCCGCGGUAAUACGGAGGAUCCGAGCGUUAUCCGGAUUUAUUGGGUUUAAAGGGAGCGUAGGCGGACGCUUAAGUCAGUUGUGAGAGUUUGCGGCUCAACCGUAAAAUUGCAGUUGAUACUGGGUGUCUUGAGUACAGUAGAGGCAGGCGGAAUUCGUGGUGUAGCGGUGAAAUGCUUAGAUAUCACGAAGAACUCCGAUUGCGAAGGCAGCCUGCUGGACUGUAACUGACGCUGAUGCUCGAAAGUGUGGGUAUCAAACAGGAUUAGAUACCCGUGUAGUCCAA
This 300-nucleotide ribosomal RNA is filed under the name uncultured Bacteroides sp. RNAcentral describes it as "bacterial SSU rRNA". It matches the Rfam family "Bacterial small subunit ribosomal RNA", at positions 499 to 798 of the family's 1533-position model. The record is from RNAcentral. Lineage: Bacteria; Pseudomonadati; Bacteroidota; Bacteroidia; Bacteroidales; Bacteroidaceae.